This 253-nucleotide ribosomal RNA is filed under the name uncultured bacterium. RNAcentral describes it as "partial 16S ribosomal RNA". It matches the Rfam family "Bacterial small subunit ribosomal RNA", at positions 524 to 776 of the family's 1533-position model. The record is from RNAcentral.
UACGAAGGGGGCUAGCGUUGUUCGGAAUUACUGGGCGUAAAGCGCACGUAGGCGGAUUUGUAAGUCAGGGGUGAGAUCCCGGGGCUCAACCUCGGAACUGCCUUUGAUACUGCAAGUCUCGAGUCCGAUAGAGGUGAGUGGAAUUCCUAGUGUAGAGGUGAAAUUCGUAGAUAUUAGGAAGAACACCGGUGGCGAAGGCGGCCCACUGGAUCGGUACUGACGCUGAGGUGCGAAAGCGUGGGGAGCAAACAGG